ACACUCCUGCGGGAGGCAGCAGUGGGGAAUCUUGCGCAAUGGGCGAAAGCCUGACGCAGCCAUGCCGCGUGAAUGAUGAAGGUCUUAGGAUUGUAAAAUUCUUUCACCGGGGACGAUAAUGACGGUACCCGGAGAAGAAGCCCCGGCUAACUUCGUGCCAGCAGCCGCGGUAAUACGAAGGGGGCUAGCGUUGCUCGGAAUUACUGGGCGUAAAGGGAGCGUAGGCGGACAUUUAAGUCAGGGGUGAAAUCCCGGGGCUCAACCUCGGAAUUGCCUUUGAUACUGGGUGUCUUGAGUAUGAGAGAGGUGUGUGGAACUCCGAGUGUAGAGGUGAAAUUCGUAGAUAUUCGGAAGAACACCAGUGGCGAAGGCGACACACUGGCUCAUUACUGACGCUGAGGCUCGAAAGCGUGGGGAGCAAACAGGAUUAGAUACCCCAGUAGUCCCAUGAU
RNAcentral lists this ribosomal RNA (452 nucleotides) under uncultured organism. RNAcentral describes it as "partial 16S ribosomal RNA". It matches the Rfam family "Bacterial small subunit ribosomal RNA", at positions 333 to 801 of the family's 1533-position model. The record is from RNAcentral.